RNAcentral lists this unclassified non-coding RNA (379 nucleotides) under plant metagenome. RNAcentral describes it as "partial contains 5.8S ribosomal RNA, internal transcribed spacer 2, and large subunit ribosomal RNA". The stretch from base 1 to 105 matches the Rfam family "5.8S ribosomal RNA", at positions 50 to 154 of the family's 154-position model. The record is from RNAcentral.
GAAAUGCGAUAAGUAAUGUGAAUUGCAGAAUUCAGUGAAUCAUCGAAUCUUUGAACGCACCUUGCGCUCCUUGGUAUUCCUUGGAGCAUGCCUGUUUGAGUAUCAUGAAAUCUUCAAAGUAAAUCUUUUGUUAACUCAAUUGGUUUCUACUUUGGUAUUGGAGGUCUUUGCAGCUUCACACCUGCUCCUCUUUGUUCAUUAGCUGGAUCUCAGUGUUAUGCUUGGUUCCACUCGGCGUGAUAAGUUAUCUAUCGCUGAGGACACUGUAAAAGGUGGCCAAGGUAAAUGCAGAUGAACCGCUUCUAAUAGUCCAUUGACUUGGACAAUACUUUUAUGAUCUGUUCUCAACUCAGGUAGGACUACCCGCUGAACUUAAGCA